GUUUGCUGUGCCACAGGAAGCAGAUGUCUCUGGUUUUGGUGUGGUCUCACGGAUGUUGCUGGCAGUGCUGCACCACAUCUUCUUACUGAUAUGGUAGAGGUGAUGGAAAGGGAACAUGGAACUGAAGUGGGUCACUGUUCUCCCUUACUGCAAAAAGUUUAGAAGAGAAAUAUUGUAGACCCACUUUGAAUAGUUACAGUUACAGAACCAGUACCUGAAAAUACCUCUUGGGAGCUCUGCUUCAAUAAUUCUUUUAAAGCCUGUGUCUCUGAAAAUGGCACACAUGAAUAACAAAUCACCAUGUGAGUGUAAUUCUAUACAUGGGCCAAGGAGCUUUUAGAAGAAUUUGUGUUCCUUCAAAGAGCAGCAAAACGU
This is a long non-coding RNA of Passer domesticus (house sparrow), 375 nucleotides long. RefSeq lists it as uncharacterized. The record is from RefSeq and is a predicted model, not a curated record. NCBI's taxonomy places the organism in Eukaryota, Metazoa, Chordata, Aves, Passeriformes, Passeridae. The transcript is spliced from 3 exons.